AUGAUUUCCCUAGUAACGGCGAGUGAAGAGGAAAGAGCUCAAAGUUGGAACCUGUUUGGCUUAGCUAAACCGGAUUGUAAACUGUAGAAGUGUUUUCCAGGCACGCCAGGUAAAAAAGUCCUUUGGAACAGGGCAUCAUAGAGGGUGAGAAUCCCGUCUUUGGCCUGAGCAGUUGCCUUUUGUGAUACACUUUCAAAGAGUCAGGUUGUUUGGGAAUGCAGCCUAAAUUGGGUGGUAAAUCUCACCUAAAGCUAAAUAUUUGCGAGAGACCGAUAGCGAACAAGUACCGUGAGGGAAAGAUGAAAAGAACUUUGAAAAGAGAGUUAAACAGUAUGUGAAAUUGUUAAAAGGGAACCGUUUGGAGCCAGACUGGCUUGACUGUAAUCAAUCUAGGCUUCGGCCUGGAUGCACUUGCGGUCUAUGCCUGCCAACGACAAUUUUUUCUCUGGGAAAAAACUAGGAGGAAUGUGGCCCCUCGGGGUGUUUAUAGCCUCUUAGAAAAUACCAGGGAAUGGAUUGAGGAACGCAGUGAAUGCCUUUAGGCAAGAUUGCUGGGCGCUUUCGCUGAUAGAUGCUAGAAUUUCUGCCUUGGGUGGUGCUAGUGUCUAGAGGAGGAACUCGCUUGGUAUAUUUUUUAUUCGCUUAGGUUGUUGGCUUAAUGACUCUAAAUGAC
This 673-nucleotide ribosomal RNA is filed under the name Mucor heterogamus. RNAcentral describes it as "eukaryotic LSU rRNA". It matches the Rfam family "Eukaryotic large subunit ribosomal RNA", at positions 71 to 648 of the family's 3401-position model. Lineage: Eukaryota; Fungi; Mucoromycota; Mucoromycetes; Mucorales; Mucoraceae. The record is from RNAcentral.